AUCUGGUGAUGAGGACAGCUAGCACAUAAUUUCUUGAAUCUCUCCCAAUACUCAUGCAAGCUUUCUCCACCCAUCUGUCAGAUGCCACAUAUGUCCUUUCGGAUGGU
Molecule: small nucleolar RNA, 107 nt
Organism: Diospyros lotus (date-plum)
Lineage: Eukaryota; Viridiplantae; Streptophyta; Magnoliopsida; Ericales; Ebenaceae
Source: RefSeq, a predicted model, not a curated record